UAGGCGGCCUGUUAAGUCUGGAGUGAAAGUCCUGCUUUUAAGGUGGGAAUUGCUUUGGAUACUGAUGGGCUUGAGUGCAGGAGAGGUUAUCGGAAUUCCCGGUGUAGCGGUGAAAUGCGUAGAGAUCGGGAGGAACACCAGUGGCGAAGGCGGGUAACUGGACUGCAACUGACGCUGANGCGCGAAAGUGUGGGGAGCAAACAGGAUUAGAUACCCUGGUAGUCCACACUGUAAACGAUGAAUGCUAGGUGUAGGANGUAUCGACCCCUUCUGUGCCGGANUUAACACAAUAAGCAUUCCGCCUGGGGAGUACGGCCNCNAGGUUNAAACUCAAAGGAUUUGACGGGGGCCCGCACAACCANC
Molecule: ribosomal RNA, 363 nt
Filed under: uncultured bacterium
Lineage: Bacteria
Description: bacterial SSU rRNA
Rfam family: Bacterial small subunit ribosomal RNA
Source: RNAcentral